AAAUAAUGAUUAUAAAGAGUAGAUUUUAUAUGUAAUUCAAUUAUUAAGUUUAAAAGUAUUGGCGGUGUUAAAUUAUAUUCUGAGAAACUUGCUAGAUUAAAAUGAUGAACCACAAAUUAUCUUAUCAUAUUUUUUUGGUUUAUGUAUUGCUGUUUAAUUAAUGAGUUAAUUGGAUAAAAAUUAGUAAAAGUAUAUAAAUAUAAAAUAAAGAUUUCAAGUCAAGAUGUAGUUUUAAUAUGGUUUUAGUGAGUUGCUUUUUAUUAGAGAAGAAGUGUUAAAGUAAUUAUUGAAAAAUUUUUAUGAGAUUAGGAUUAGGGUGUAAAAGAAAAGUAAUUAGUUUUUUUGAUAAAUUAUAUUAACAUGU
RNAcentral lists this ribosomal RNA (364 nucleotides) under Heteroschizomus kekchi. RNAcentral's name for it is "partial small subunit ribosomal RNA". Lineage: Eukaryota; Metazoa; Arthropoda; Arachnida; Schizomida; Hubbardiidae. The record is from RNAcentral.